UACGUAGGGGGCUAGCGUUGUCCGGAAUCAUUGGGCGUAAAGCGCGCGUAGGCGGCCAGAUAAGUCCGGUGUGAAAGUCACAGGCUCAACCUGUGAAUGCCGCUGGAAACUGUCUGGCUAGAGUCCGGAAGGGGCGAGUGGAAUUCCUGGUGUAGCGGUGAAAUGCGUAGAUAUCGUUUGGAACGCCAAUGGUGAAAACAGCAGGCUGGGGAUGUGCUGACGCUGAGACGCGAAAGCCAGGGGAGCAAACGGG
Molecule: ribosomal RNA, 253 nt
Filed under: uncultured bacterium
Lineage: Bacteria
Description: partial 16S ribosomal RNA
Rfam family: Bacterial small subunit ribosomal RNA
Source: RNAcentral